This 2256-nucleotide non-coding RNA is filed under the name Pongo abelii (Sumatran orangutan). Lineage: Eukaryota; Metazoa; Chordata; Mammalia; Primates; Hominidae. The record is from RNAcentral.
GCAUAUUUCUGCUUGUUCUCUUGCACCUGCUAUCAGUAUAAGAAGAAUUUCCUCUGGGUAGUGGCUGCUACUUGUUGUGAGUCCGGGGGAAAACACUAUUGGAGGUGACAAGAGUUCAAACUGCAAUGAUGUGCCACACUCACCCAGCUGCAUCUGAACUGAAGUGGGGCCCCAGCCAAGUCUUGCCUGAGAUCAGCAGACCCUCGAUGACCCACAAAAAUUAUCUGCUUAGGACACAGAAUUCAAUUACACCCAAACCCUGGAUGGAAUCAGAAUCAGAAUCAGCCAUGCAAUGAGGAAGAAGAAAUGUAAGUUGAGGCCUGUGAUUCCAACAGUUCUCUUUCUGGAAUGGCUACCAAGGAGAAAGUGUCCUGCAAAUCACAGUGUCCAACAGAAUCAACACUGCUAAACACACUCCCACUGGAGUACAGAGAAAGGGGAUCCACAGAAGAGCCUAAUCCUGAACCACUUCCAUGUAUUUGCCCAUCCAUUUCUCCUCUCUGGCCAAUACUCUUUAUAUUCAAAUUUUACCAGUCCUUCAAAGAUCAGAUUAAGUUCCAAAAUCUCAAAAGCCUUCUCAGCCUACUCUUACAGCUUAAUAGUGCAUACCAACUUCAAUUAAUGAUAAACUCAUUUGUUUCAUUUUGUAUUAUUUAAUAGAAACACUGGAAUUUAAUCUUUGUGUUUUUUACAUUUUGUUUUCUCCACUAGAUUACCAACUUGAUGUCAUGAACCACUUACUACAAUUCUUUUGUAGCUUGUAACUGUAUUAGGCACAGUUUCUUGAAGAAAUUAAGCACAUAUUUACAUGUUUUAAAUAACUUUGUAUUGAUUUGCAUAUGUAUGAAGGAGGUAUGUCAUACUUGGCUUUAGAAAAAAGUCUCGUCUAAUAUUCAAGGAACCAGUCUGUGACCUUUGUUUAUUAUCUAAUUUUUUGAAACACAAUCUAUAUUUACAAUCCUAUUAGCUGUUACUGGAUAUAUAUGGAAGAAUAUAACACUACUUCUUUAUUACAUAUAAUUUGGAUACUCUUCUGCCUUCGCCAUUAAGUUAACUAUACAUUAAGACAGUUCACAUAACUUUUUUAUUUUCUGUUUUUUUAGAGAUGGAGGUCUAACUAUGUUGCCCAGGCUGGCCUCGAACUUCUGGGCUCAAGUAAUCCUUCACCUCAGCCUCCCAAGUUGCUGGAAUUACUGGCUUCAGCCACUGCGCCUGGCAGUUUACACAACUUUAAUUGCUUGUUUAUGUAUAAAUUUCCUUCUAUAAUCUAGUCAUAAUCUAGUCAACCUACUACUGCAUAAAAAUUUGCUGAAUAUCUCCCAAGAGCUAGCUCUCAUAACGGGUUUUAAGGCUCUCAAGAAGCUUAAUAUACAGAAAUAAACUGCACUGGCUGUAUAUUUGCACAAAAGUUGUAAACUUGGCUGCUGCUGAGCAAUUUAUGUAUAUACGGUACCUGUUUUUCUGGCUGUCCUUUUUUUGUGUAACAAUUACUAAUAUACAUUCCCCUUUAUCUAAAAAAAUCCCUAUGCACAAAUGAAACCUCUGCCAGAGGAUAUAAGGAACACGAAAGUAGUAUAAGACACAUUUCUUGUGCCUGAUGAAUUUACACCCUUGUCAGGAAGAUAAACAUAUGUAUAAAUUGUAUCUACAGAAAAUACAUAAUAUAGUGUGAUCAGACUGAAUGACUUGGUAACUGAGAAAAAUCAAAAUAAACUGAAUAGGAAAAAAUGUCCUAAGCAUUGUAUUUAAAUACCAUACCUGGAUUAGGACUCAUUUUAUGGGCAUAUAUCAGUGCAAGUAGAGAACAAAGUGAUACAUCUUGUUUAUUUUUAAUAGCCUCAAAUUCUCGAAGAGCUUCUUGAGUUCUACCUGAAAAUCAAGAUUAUGAUAUGAAAAACUGUUCUUAGUGCAAAGCAAGAAUUUAAAACGGAUGGAACAUGUUUAAUGAUUAACACGUACCUUCCAUUAAUGUGCCAUAGGCAUGGUAAAACCUGAAGACUGGAUCACUUCCAUACCUCUUCAUUCCUUCACUGGCAACCAGUAACACAUGAUGGAAAUAUCUCUCUUGACAAUAGUAAUUAAUCAAAGUCUAAAUGGAAAUAAUGAAAAAAUGUUAUAAAGGAAUUCUGGUGCUCUGAAAUACUCUAAGAAGCAGAUAAUAAUCUAACAUCUAGAAUAACGUAAAAUUUAGGCAAUGUGACUUUUUUCUUCCAAGUUUCUUAAAAUACUGUUAAUGGCUAGAACUCAAUGCUAAGG